GGACCAGCACAAAUGGUGGAGCAUGUUGUUUAAUUCGUUAACACACGUGAACCUUACCAAGUAUUGAACCACAGCAAAGCCUUGGAAACAAGGUGGAGGUUAACUGUGAGUCAGGUGGUGCAUGUCCGUCAUCAGUUCGUGUCGUGAGAUGUUGGGUUUAGUCCCGCAACGAACGCAACCCUUUUCGUUAGUUAAUUUUCUUAGCGAUACUGCCUGUGUAAGCAGGAGGAAGGUGGGGACGAUGUCAGGCCAUUAUACCCUUUAUAACUUGGGCUACAAACGUGCUACAAUGGUCGGUACAAAGAGUUGCAAGCCAGUAAUGGUGAGCUAAUCUGUAAAAGCCGAUCUCAGUUCGGAUUGAGGAUUGCAAUUCAUCCUCAUGAAGUUGGAAUCAUUAGUAAUCGCGUAUCAGACAUGUCG
Molecule: ribosomal RNA, 420 nt
Filed under: uncultured Mycoplasmatota bacterium
Lineage: Bacteria; Bacillati; Mycoplasmatota
Description: bacterial SSU rRNA
Rfam family: Bacterial small subunit ribosomal RNA
Source: RNAcentral